Molecule: ribosomal RNA, 468 nt
Filed under: uncultured bacterium
Lineage: Bacteria
Description: partial 16S ribosomal RNA
Rfam family: Bacterial small subunit ribosomal RNA
Source: RNAcentral
GACGAACGCUGGCGGCGUGCUUAACACAUGCAAGUCGAACGGAAAGGCCCUGCUUUUGUGGGGUGCUCGAGUGGCGAACGGGUGAGUAACACGUGAGUAACCUGCCCUUGACUUUGGGAUAACUUCAGGAAACUGGGGCUAAUACCGGAUAGGAGCUCCUGCUGCAUGGUGGGGGUUGGAAAGUUUCGGCGGUUGGGGAUGGACUCGCGGCUUAUCAGCUUGUUGGUGGGGUAGUGGCUUACCAAGGCUUUGACGGGUAGCCGGCCUGAGAGGGUUACCGGCCACAUUGGGACUGAGAUACGGCCCAGACUCCUACGGGAGGCAGCAGUGGGGAAUAGUGCACAAUGGGCGGAAGCCUGAUGCAGCAACGCCGCGUGCGGGAUGACGGCCUUCGGGUUGUAAACCGCUUUCGCCUGUGACGAAGCGUGAGUGACGGUAAUGGGUAAAGAAGCACCGGCUAACUACGUG